Long non-coding RNA from Talpa occidentalis (Iberian mole), 1534 nucleotides. RefSeq lists it as uncharacterized. Lineage: Eukaryota; Metazoa; Chordata; Mammalia; Eulipotyphla; Talpidae. The transcript is spliced from 5 exons. The record is from RefSeq and is a predicted model, not a curated record.
CUGAUCCUGGCCCCCCCCCCCCCAACUGGGAGACCUUUGGUGCACCGCCUGCUGCUCAGACAACCUUACGCUGGUCUGUGGCGUCGGAAGUCUUGGUAUUAGAAGAUAAAUGCAGUGCAGUGAAGUUGAGAAUGCAAUCAGUGCCAUUUCAAAGAGGGGAGGAUAAUUUGGAGACGCCAAGAACUCAGGUGAUACAAGGAUCUCCCAGGGUGGAAAAGGUUUCAUAUUUCCAGUAUAGUUUGGAUACACCUUUGUUGUUUACCAUCUGAAAAUUUUGGCCUUUCUGUUCUGAGUUUCCACAACUGAACUGUGCACUGAAAUUUUUAAGCUGUGUCGAUAACAGAGUGCAUGUUUGCAGAGUGGGAUGGGCAUUCCCGUCUCUCCGGCUAGGAAAAGCCACGUUCAAAGCUCACUGUGUUGCGGUCCGAAGCCGCACUUACCUCGGGCCCCCUCUGGGCACAGGAUCGCUCAAGACCCGGGAAAAGUCUGCGAGAGAAAAUCGUGGAGAGCCUGGAGCCAGCGCGAGUCCGCGCGUCGGGCGCGCCGGGAGCGGAGGGGCGUCCUCGCUCUGCCUCUCACUCACUCGGUCUGAGCCAUCAUGGACUCUGCGUGCGCCUUUGCUGAGGAUUUCACACCCAAAUUUGCUUCCCAAUCUCCAAUCUGCAGCUAUACAACAAAAGAUUUCUCUUUACCAAGACAGUAGUAAUACGUCCCAGGGCAAACCGGAUGUGAAAUAGGCGGUGACUUCAUGCCAGAGAGAUUUUAUUUUAGAAAGGAAGGUGGUACCAGCCUCUGGAGCUGGAGACCAAUCCGCCCAUUUUUUAUAUGCAGCACAAUUUAACUUGCACCGCUCUGGCCCUAAUCCCCUUCUCUCUAGCUGCAGACUCAAAUCCUUCUACAAUCUGCUGCAAGCGUUCCCCUUUUUUUUGGGGGGGGUGGAGUAGAAAUAGGGGGAGGGAAGUAGAAAGGUACUACACUCAGAAUCUUCACACUUUGAAUUUCUGUACACUGUUUAAGGUGUGUCCAUUAAAAAGAAAGCUGUUCAUUGCAAAUAUUCCACCUUUGAUCAAAUAUUUAACUAAUGAAUGCUUGUGAAUAAAUGCAAGCUAGGGAACAGGGAGAUGCAGGGUUACACAUGUGGAGAACACACCGUCCUCUCGCUUCCCUCCCUCACACGCACUCCCACAUACAUGUCUAAAUCCCUGUGCCUUGCACAGUCACGAAAGAUGAGAGAUGGUAGGGGAGAGUUCUGGGCAGCAGGGAUUUGGCCACCAGGUGUAGAGAGUCCUUCGCACUUUCACAGGUUGUGAGCGCUUCCACCCCACCUUCUGUCUGAGCUUAAAGGACAGCGAGAACGCGCUCAGAAUGUUUUUUUGGUCUUUGGUGGCAACUGUUUUCGGUUUUUGUGAUGUUGGAGAAAACACGGGCUUCUUUAAACAUGAAUUGCGCUGGUUUCUUAGGACGAGGAGUAUUCAACUUUAAAUAAAUCGCUCCGUUCAUUUCUAGGCUUGAAAUUCACAUCUCCAUUUCCGGA